Molecule: ribosomal RNA, 282 nt
Filed under: uncultured microorganism
Description: partial 16S ribosomal RNA
Rfam family: Bacterial small subunit ribosomal RNA
Source: RNAcentral
GAGUUUGAUCCUGGCUCAGAUUGAACGCUGGCGGCAUGCCUUACACAUGCAAGUCGAACGGUCAGCAUGAUCUAGCUUGCUAGAUUGAUGGCGAGUGGCGAACGGGUGAGUAAUACAUCGGAACGUGCCCUGUAGUGGGGAUAACUAGUCGAAAGAUUAGCUAAUACCGCAUACGACCUGAGGGUGAAAGUGGGGGACCGCAAGGCCUCAUGCUAUAGGAGCGGCCGAUGUCUGAUUAGCUAGUUGGUGGGGUAAAGGCCCACCAAGGCGACGAUCAGUAGC